UGAAUACUAACUUAUUUGAUUUUUCAGAUUCAACACACCAAUUUAAACACCCCAGUUGUCGAACAAGCUUUUGUUAGUUUUUAAGUAAUAUUUUCGCUUAUAAUCUUUCAUAUUAACAAGUUCGUUAUAUUAUUAUUUGGUGUUUUAUUGUAGGAUGAUGGUGAUAAUAGUGUUGAAAUUAUUUCUUAUGGUGCAAUGUUCAGUCCAUACAAGUCUAAGCUUCAACGUCAAUUUAGUGAAGAGGAUCGGAAGUAUGAGAAUCAAAAGAAAAGAUCUAAGAGACUCUCUGAAUGGAAAUGGGUCGAGGUUAUAAAUUUAGAUGAUUCUGAGGACGAUGAGAAAGAAGAUGAUUAGAUGAUACUGCUGAUUCGAGCACAAACAAGAAAAACGGAUCAAAAAAGUAGAGAUUUUAGAUGAAAUAUAUCAAGUGCUUUUAUGUUUUUUUCAUUUACAGUUGUUUUUGUUUGAUAUAGACUAUCCCAUGAAUAAUAAAGUUUAUUUUAUAUUUGAAGUUUA
This is a long non-coding RNA of Helianthus annuus (common sunflower), 516 nucleotides long. RefSeq lists it as uncharacterized. The transcript has 2 exons. Lineage: Eukaryota; Viridiplantae; Streptophyta; Magnoliopsida; Asterales; Asteraceae. The record is from RefSeq and is a predicted model, not a curated record.